Molecule: ribosomal RNA, 669 nt
Filed under: Tenacibaculum lutimaris
Lineage: Bacteria; Pseudomonadati; Bacteroidota; Flavobacteriia; Flavobacteriales; Flavobacteriaceae
Description: bacterial SSU rRNA
Rfam family: Bacterial small subunit ribosomal RNA
Source: RNAcentral
UGCAGUCGAGGGGUAACAGGGUGCUUGCACCGCUGACGACCGGCGAACGGGUGCGUAACGCGUAUAGAAUCUACCUUGUACAGGAGGAUAGCCUUUAGAAAUGAAGAUUAAUACUCCAUAAUACUGAGAUGUGGCAUCACAAUUUAGUUAAAGAUUUAUCGGUACAAGAUGACUAUGCGUCCUAUUAGCUAGAUGGUAAGGUAACGGCUUACCAUGGCAACGAUAGGUAGGGGGUCUGAGAGGAUUAUCCCCCACACUGGUACUGAGACACGGACCAGACUCCUACGGGAGGCAGCAGUGAGGAAUAUUGGUCAAUGGAGGCAACUCUGAACCAGCCAUGCCGCGUGCAGGAAGACUGCCCUAUGGGUUGUAAACUGCUUUUAUACAGGAAGAAACAGUCGUACGUGUACGACCUUGACGGUACUGUAAGAAUAAGCACCGGCUAACUCCGUGCCAGCAGCCGCGGUAAUACGGAGGGUGCAAGCGUUAUCCGGAAUCAUUGGGUUUAAAGGGUCCGCAGGCGGUCAAUUAAGUCAGAGGUGAAAUCCCAUAGCUUAACUAUGGAACUGCCUUUGAUACUGGUUGACUUGAGUUAUACGGAAGUAGAUAGAAUAAGUAGUGUAGCGGUGAAAUGCAUAGAUAUUACUUAGAAUACCGAUUGCGAAGGCA